RNAcentral lists this ribosomal RNA (292 nucleotides) under uncultured eukaryote. RNAcentral's name for it is "partial 18S ribosomal RNA". It matches the Rfam family "Eukaryotic small subunit ribosomal RNA", at positions 6 to 299 of the family's 1831-position model. The record is from RNAcentral.
GGUUGAUCCUGCCAGUAGUCAUAUGCUUGUCUCAAAGAUUAAGCCAUGCAUGUCUAAGUAUAAACAUUUUAUACGGUGAAACUGCGAAUGGCUCAUUAAAUCAGUUAUAGUUUAUUUGAUAGUACCUUACUACUUGGAUAACCGUGGUAAUUCUAGAGCUAAUACAUGCUAAAAAACCCGACUUCUCGGAAGGGUUGUAUUUAUUAGAUAAAAAACCAAUCUGCGCAAGCAGUUUUAGGUGAUUCAUAAUAACUUUUCGAAUCGUAUGACUUUACGUCGACGAUGGUUCAUU